AUGAUUGAAAUGAGAACAUAAUAAAAAACUUAACGACUAACAAUUGGAGGCAAGUCUGGUGCCAGCAGCCGCGGUAAUUCCAGCUCCAAGAGUGUAUAUUAAAGUUGUUGCGGUUAAAAAGCUCGUAGUUGAAUUUCUGAAAAUAAUCUUGUGAUUGAUUUAACCGUCAUGAACAAAAAUUGUUUACAUACUUGAUAGAUGGAAACAUUUAUCUUAAUGACUUUGAAAAAAUUAGAGUGUUCAAAGCAUGAUUCACAUUUGAAUAAUACAGCAUGGGAUAAUAUAAUAUGACAUUAGUUAAAAUUUGUUGGUUUCUUUGGCUAAUGUAAUGAUUAAAAGGGACAGUUGGAGUAAUUUAUAUUGGUUGGGGAGGGGUGAAAUCCUAUGAUCCUUCCAAGAUAAACUAGUGCGAAAGCAUUUUACUAGGAUGUUUUCAUUAAUCAAGAACGAAAGUUGGGGG
This 460-nucleotide ribosomal RNA is filed under the name uncultured eukaryote. RNAcentral describes it as "bacterial SSU rRNA". It matches the Rfam family "Eukaryotic small subunit ribosomal RNA", at positions 505 to 996 of the family's 1831-position model. The record is from RNAcentral.